CGAUAAUCGGGAUUGACACGUUUCUAUAUUUUGUAAUUGAUCGGAUCAUAUUGACAAAGGGAUUAUAGUUUCACGGUAAACGAACGAGUUUGAUUUUGUCAUAUCACGUGACAUUUUCCGUCACAUGUAUUGCCCUGACACAUUGCUAGAUGUCAAUCUGGGACGACGAGUGUGAAUUUGUCAUAAAUUAAAAUGCUGUUUUGAUUUAUCAAUUUUGAUUAGAUCAAAAUAAUAUUUCAUGUCGUUAGAUAUCGUGAUCGGAAACCUGAUGGGUCGUAUACAAAAGAGAAUUGGAAGAUUGUAAUUUGUCGAUUAAUUAAUUUAACAAUCGUUAGAUAAAUUAAUUAAUUGGGAUGGUUAUUUAUAGGCCCGAAUUAAUUAAUUGGAUUAAUUAAUUCACGGACCAGAUUUAAUUAAUGGAUUGAUUAAAUAUUGGACCGGAUUAGGCCAAUCCCGUUUGGACUUAUAUAAAUAAGUUUACAAUUUUGUAAUGAAUUUAUUAUUCUUCAUUAUUCUUGCUAGAACAAGAUGAAAAUCCUAAUCCUACAAUCUUGUUCUCUGUGUGGAUCACCGAUGGAGGCUGGACAAUUGGACAACUGUGGUUGACAGAUCAAGAUUGUUGGAAUGCUAGAAAAGUACAGGAGUUUGCAGAUCUAGAAAAAUGUACGAUCUUUUUUACAAU
RNAcentral lists this long non-coding RNA (682 nucleotides) under Olea europaea subsp. europaea. Lineage: Eukaryota; Viridiplantae; Streptophyta; Magnoliopsida; Lamiales; Oleaceae. The record is from RNAcentral.